This 253-nucleotide ribosomal RNA is filed under the name uncultured bacterium. RNAcentral describes it as "partial 16S ribosomal RNA". It matches the Rfam family "Bacterial small subunit ribosomal RNA", at positions 524 to 776 of the family's 1533-position model. The record is from RNAcentral.
UACGUAGGGGGCAAGCGUUAUCCGGAUUCACUGGGUGUAAAGGGAGCGUAGACGGCCAUGCAAGCCUGGAGUGAAAGCCCGGGGCCCAACCCCGGGACUGCUCUGGGAACUGUGCGGCUGGAGUGCGGGAGGGGCAGGCGGAAUUCCUGGUGUAGCGGUGAAAUGCGUAGAUAUCAGGAGGAACACCGGCGGCGAAGGCGGCCUGCUGGGCUUUAACUGACGCUGAGGCUCGAAAGCGUGGGGAGCAAACAGG